RNAcentral lists this ribosomal RNA (343 nucleotides) under uncultured bacterium. RNAcentral describes it as "partial 16S ribosomal RNA". It matches the Rfam family "Bacterial small subunit ribosomal RNA", at positions 917 to 1268 of the family's 1533-position model. The record is from RNAcentral.
GGGCCCGCACAAGCGGUGGAGCAUGUGGUUUAAUUCGAUGCAACGCGAAGAACCUUACCAGGGUUUGACAUAGUACGAAGUUUUUUGAAAAAAAAGCCACCUUCGGGAACGUACAUACAGGUGGUGCAUGGCUGUCGUCAGCUCGUGUCGUGAGAUGUUGGGUUAAGUCCCGCAACGAGCGUAACCCUUGUUUUUAGUUGCCUUUCGAGGAUAUUUAGAAAGACUGCCGAUUAUAAAUCGGAGGAAGGUAAGGACGACGUCAAGUCAUCAUGCCCCUUACACUCUGGGCUACACACGUGCUACAUUGGGUAGAACAAUAAGUUGCUAAGUUCGGAUUGUAGGC